AAGUCGUAACAAGGUUUCCGUAGGUGAACCUGCGGAAGGAUCAUUAUUGAAGUUCUAAGGGAUUACUGUUGCUGGCUUUUAACAAGGCAUGUGCACGUAUUCUCUCUUCUCUUCAUCCACCUGUGCACUUUUUGUAGAAGUUCUUUUGGAAUUGGCAUGUUGAGGGUUUCGACUCUUAUACUGUUAUUCUAAAGGCUUCUAUGUUUUAUACACCAGUUAAGCAUGUUUUAGAAUGUCUUUUAUUGGGACUUAAUUGGCCCUUUAAACUUUGUACAACUUUCAGCAACGGAUCUCUUGGCUCUCC
This 304-nucleotide unclassified non-coding RNA is filed under the name Collybiopsis dichroa. Its description in RNAcentral is "Gymnopus dichrous partial internal transcribed spacer region". The stretch from base 1 to 46 matches the Rfam family "Eukaryotic small subunit ribosomal RNA", at positions 1786 to 1831 of the family's 1831-position model. Lineage: Eukaryota; Fungi; Basidiomycota; Agaricomycetes; Agaricales; Omphalotaceae. The record is from RNAcentral.